CUCACAAAGUGGCUGUAAUGUGUGUCCCCGUACAUAUCACAGCCAGCUUUGAUGAGC
Molecule: non-coding RNA, 57 nt
Filed under: Spodoptera frugiperda (fall armyworm)
Lineage: Eukaryota; Metazoa; Arthropoda; Insecta; Lepidoptera; Noctuidae
Source: RNAcentral